Hippocampus comes (tiger tail seahorse) is the source of this 151-nucleotide long non-coding RNA. RefSeq lists it as uncharacterized. NCBI's taxonomy places the organism in Eukaryota, Metazoa, Chordata, Actinopteri, Syngnathiformes, Syngnathidae. The transcript has 2 exons. The record is from RefSeq and is a predicted model, not a curated record.
GGAUGAGCAGUGUGUUGUGUCGAUGUCGUUCAUGUUUGAUGCUGGAGAAUAAUGUUUAGGUGUUCUCUGGGCCCAGACCUUGGUGGCAAGGCUCACCGUGUUCUGCUCAUGCCCUCAGCAAUACUUCUGCAGAGAGGAGGGAAAAAAAAAA